GCAUCCGCAGUCAUGCAACAAGCAAGCCUCCUUCGCGUGAACGUGUCCGAUGUCACUGCAAAACAUGCAAUAUUCGUUUGUUCUUUCAUUUCAAGUUAGCGAAGCAAGAAGUAGUACUUACUAAUAGAAAAACCAAAACCUGUGAUGCUCUUGUGCCUUUUUCGUCUUUUCCCUCACUGCUCGUAGCGGUUUAAUUUGUAGCUUGAGAGCAAUGUCAAUAAAGAUUCUCGGGGUAGGAAGAAAAGGUACUGCAAAAAUCAUUUCGGAGCGACUCUCGUACUCUUUUGUGAUCAACCACGUAAAAACUCGUGGUGCGUUUCACCUUCACGUUGCCUCCCGAAAUUUCAGUGGCCGCGUUCCGGCAUCGACUGGGAUGGGCGGCCGAGUGCUUUCGAUGGCGAAGGCGUGAGUGACGGUACCUGUGGCGCCGCGGCGUCGGCUCUUCCCUAUUCCGACCGCGCGCGGAUUCUGCUCCGCCACUCGCCGUCGCACUGCCGCUUAGGGGAGGGAAGAGGCAGUGUGGCGCGCGCGACAUCGUAACAUCGGCCAACCUAGCUACCCACGCGAAGACACACACUAUUGAAAAGAAAGCAUCGUCGAGGUUAUAACCAACCAGUAUUGUCAUCACUCCUCUGCGAGCCAUCAAUUUCGAUUUCAGCAUUGACGACCACCAACGCAACCCUCAUCAGACAGUCUACCACCUGCGCUGGCGAUGAGACACCUGAGACUUAGAUGAUGAACCUUGCAUGAGAAAAGCGUUGAGCCAGCACCAACUAGGCCCUGCAAGCGAACAUCGAUCUCAUGCCAUCGUCACCGCUAACGCACCUCCUCCGCAACUCCGAUCCACAAAGACGCGAUGAGGCACGAGAACUCCUCGAACACAUCGGAUGAUACCGACUACCAAACCCCCACCUCAACUGGUGAGGACACCACAACCAUCGACAAGUCCCCAACAAUUAUGGGUCCUAUCACAAGAAGUCGCGCCAAACUAAUAAGUGACCAGAUGAUCGCUAAGACGCUAACUGAAGUUUACCUUGUAACCUUGAUGACACAACUAUGCUUUCAUCCCCACUGUUGUUGGUUGAACUUGGGUAUCAUAUAAAAGAAAUCGGACAACCUAUGAGCUCUUGAAGGAACCGGUUUGAAGAAAACAAGUUCCAAGUGAAGCUGAUAUUGUCAGACUUUAGCUCUACUAUCAGUUUUUAGCUCUAAUGUUUUAUUGUGUCACACCCGAGAGACGGGCCAUACAGGUACAUCACCAGAAGCUACAUCAAAUUUACUCUCCAAUGCAAAGAAACCUCACAUCAUUUGGAGUUGUCAGUCAAACGUUCUAGUCAUUCUCGUGGAAGGUGUCUAUGCUGUCAAGGCUUCGCGAAUUUUCGAGGAGCUCUCCAACAACUCCCGAAGUUGACUGCUUAUUCCCCCAAGUAAGCCACGCAAAGCUAGUUAUUAUUUAAACCUUUUCACACCUAGCUAAGGGGAGUUGUCUCUACUAUAAAACCCAUCUCCUCCAUCCUUUGAGACCUUUUGUCAAACUAUUCAGCUACAAGCUUAUGCAGCAAGACUGCUAGAGAUCUGAGAGAUCCUUACUACCUUUGCUCUUGUGAGUUCAUACGGAUUCGCGAGAAGGAGCCUUUGGUUUCCCCUAAAUCGUGCUCUACAAUUUCAUGUGUUUUGUGUGGGUUAGUUCCGGUUUGUGGUUUCUGCGAUUGUUCAGGUAGUGGGUUGGAGUUCUUGUAGAUCCGGUCAGCCAUCCCCAACGUACGGGUUACAUCCAACCUUGGCAGGUAUAAAACUAAUUACGCGGCUGCUUGCAACUAGUUAUCCCUUUUGAUUCGAUCCUACGAAGUGAGGAGUGGGCCACCCUCGUGCAUGAACUCGUUCAACGGGCUUGCACCUAUCAUCAAACCAACUCCACUUGAAAUUGACAUCGUUGCUGGACAAGAAGCCACACAACUCCGAACCAGGGUCGCCACCCGAGCAUCCUCGCAACAAGCAGCGACCCACAUGACCUUGGAUGAAAUCGAGGCAGCCAUCAGUCCAGAUCACUGACCAUCGGUUCCUCCAGCCAGCGUGGCUCCAAGAACGAUGUUCGAUAUAGAGCUUUGUCAUCAUUCGAUCUGGGAAGAUCUCAUAUCUGAGGUUUCCCCAAAACAAUUAUUCAUGUAAAAUCUCAAAGGCACAUGUGGGGUUCAUGACAUGGUGAGAAGUUUUAGUAUGCCCCCAAAAGUUGAGGAGAGUUGGGACCUACAUAUAAGAGAUUCUCUUCCACGUCCUACUGGAGCAUGAGAAGAGUACUGGCACACAUGCUAUCCUCCUCACUCGCCCGCCUCACCAUGCCACGUGUGUGUGUCUUGUGUUUCGUGAACAACCUAAGCUCAAACAUAUGUCAUGUGUGCUUGUUAUUUUUGCUAGAUGGAAAUGGAUAACUAAUUGGUAAUUAAUUACGAUUUUAGCAAAUGCUUUACGAAUAGCAACAUCUGAUCUAGUUGGUUUGGAUUGUGGGUUGUUACCGACUCGGUCGUGGGCCUAACACCGCGUCUCCAUGCCCGACCACCAAUAUAUUGGAGGCAAAUCCAUUAGCAACCCUAGUCGUCACGCAAAAUAGAUUGCAACUACUCUACCUUCUUGCGCACAAAACAAUCUUCGUUCCUCUCGUUGUUGUUACUUCUGGCCAACUCCAUCAGAAGACCACUGCAUGGAUGCUCAGCAGAGCAGGCCUCUGAAACCAAGGGUGAGCGUUGUGGGGAGCAAACCGGUCCACAACCCGUCCUUUGUUUUGGAGUUGCUCUUAGAAUUUGCUACAAAUCCGGCCCAAGAACAGCAUAUUGCCCACUGAGUAAGGUAAAGGCCCGCCUUCACUUUGUUUCAUGCUCUGCCACUGUCUAGAACCUUGUCCUUUGUGAUCCUACACCAGGAAAUGAGUGAUAAGGAUUUUGGGAGGCAUCUCGGCACGACUGCCCGCAACUGUUCGACUACAUCCACGACUUUGGCUACUACAUCGGCCUUCCCACUGACAGCACAACACCGUGAACAAGAAGGUUGUUUGAGCCUCUUCCGCCGACAUGACUUUUGCCUCUCCGAAAGGAGGGUAUGAUAUAUUCAUCCCUCUAUUUUUUUCUCAUGUGUUAGCCGUACUCACUCUUAUCAUGGAUGUUCCUAUUCUAUGUUUCGUUUAUACAUGGAGGGCAUUGGUUUUUCUUCCCCGUGUCUUCUUCUUAUGCUUGGUCAUCCACGUCUCGCUUCGUCAUAACUACAGCAUAAGGGAAAAACAAGAUCUAGGGUAAACGCUCAUCACAACUCCAUCGUCUGGCGGGAUUUGGCUCAUCGCAUUGAGAUUUUUUGUGGUAUUACUAAGGUAGAGAUCCAUGACGAACCUCUACUGCAUUCGCAACCACCUACUCUUUUUUCUCAUCACUUGAUGUUGGAUGCCUCUGUUUCCAGGGUUUUGUGCGACCCUUCAUUGAUCCUUGAUCUUCCGCCUCACCUCUCUGAUACCGCAAAAAAUAAACUUGACUUUUCCAUGCUAUUUUGGACUCGAUAAAACAGAAUCUACAGGUAUCAAACAACAUAUUGGCAGGAUCGAUGGCAAGUUUCUCACAACACGAUCGGCUCACAAAGCAUUGUGGGAGUCCAAAUUGGUGGACCUCUUCGCCACAGCCAUCUAGAGAAAUUUUGCACCCAACAAAUGAAGGCCCUUCUUAUGGCUCGCCCACAAGAAUCAUCUCUUCAUCAACGACUUUCAUUUCAGGAGAGGCAUUGCAAAGAUUAGCGCCCCUUCUGCCCUGAUCCUGAGACUACCGAUCACCCACUUCUUUAUUGCCCCACAAUUCAAUCUCUUUGGGAGGAACUCACCAGCCUAUGCGGGUCUGUGUUUUUAUUUUUGUUUUCAAUUGAUUUAUGUGCUAAAACUAUAUUCUUAGAUGUGUAAUAUCGACUACGCUGGCUCAUGGGUCUUAUAUGUGUCAAUUUGCACAACACUUUAGAUGGGGUGACAUAGGUUGAAUCAUGUUCAUCGUGUCAUCGUGAUGUUGAAUUUUUUUUAAAAAUUACACACUUGGAAAGUAUAAACUCAUUGGUAGUGCUGAAUAUAUUGAAUAUAUCGUAACGGGGAAUACAAUAGUGAAAAUGGUUCAUAAUUUGUAAGCNNNNNNNNNNNNNNNNNNNNNNNNNNNNNNNNNNNNNNNNNNNNNNNNNNNNNNNNNNNNNNNNNNNNNNNNNNNNNNNNNNNNNNNNNNNNNNNNNNNNNNNNNNNNNNNNNNNNNNNNNNNNNNNNNNNNNNNNNNNNNNNNNNNNNNNNNNNNNNNNNNNNNNNNNNNNNNNNNNNNNNNNNNNNNNNNNNNNNNNNNNNNNNNNNNNNNNNNNNCCGAUUGGGACAAAAAAACACAGAUCGACCUCAACACGUGUCGACCAUGUGGAUGUGUACCUUCAUGUCUCCAUGUGUUGCCAAUAGAGGCGUCAGUCGCAAUCCCAGGAGUUACUUUAUAACCGGUGAUCUUUUUUCAUGUGUUUUUCAUCCCUUUUUCACUUAUAAUUUUAUCUUUUGCUUGUUUUUCCUAUUUCUAUUGACAUUUUUAUAAACAAAAUACCAUAACAAAUAUUCUGACACACAUGAGCAAAAUUUAUUCAAAUAUAUUUCUCAAAAAAUCUCCAAAUAAACAUUUUUUAAAAUACAUUGAUAUUUUUUUGUAGAAAGUUUUUUAAGCAUGAAAUGGAAUAUGCAUGUAUUUGGUCAUUUAUAAUUUUGCCAUAUACUCCCACCAUCCCAUAAUAUAAGAGUAUUUUGGAGAUUUUCUUUUAAAUAAGGGUUGCGCCAGCAGCUGUCCCAUUAUCAUUUCGCUUAGGCUGAUCCACCGUGCUCCCAAACGCGGCAAAUAUGAAAUCCCUGGGAUAUAUAAACUUGUCGCAUGUUCUGGCAAACAGGACAGUCUCACACACUAAAGUGGUCUUUAGGAACAUGGGGGCAUUGGAGCACUUUUUUUUACCACCCCAAAACAAGUGCUUAAUAAUUUUGAAAAUUUUGUUUUUUACUUGAAUACUCAUACAUAUGGCAAAGUACCUGUGAAAUUUCGCUCAAUAAUAUGUUGUAUUGUACGCUGCACAAAAAGGACAUCUGUUUAAAAUCAACAAAAAAAACAAGCCCCACGUUUGCAUUUUGUUUUUUUAUCUCUCACAUGCAAGCAGGUAUAUUGGUGAAAUUUUGGUCGUCAUAAUUAUGCUGCACCACUAUACAUGCAUGUACCCAAAAAUUUAGAUUUUUUAAAGACAUACAAAUCCAUUUUUUUGAAUUGCAAAUAAACAUGCUCCAAUCCCUGUGUUCAGAUGUCACUUUUCGGCCGACAGACACACUUUUUGCGUAGUAAGCUGACCCAACAAGAUUUGGUACAAUUUUUCAUUUCAUUUUUCUAUUACCUUUAUUUCUUCUAGUUUUGGAUAUGUAUCUAUGUUUCUUUUUUUCUCUUUCUAUUUUCUAAUAUUAUAUAAAUAUUCUAUUUUAAACUUUCAUUUUCAAGAACAAUAGUUUCUAAAAAAUGAAAAAUUCUUUUAAAUACAAGAAAUUUAUUUUGAAUUGUAUACAUAUUUCCUUUCAUGAUUGUGAAUAUUAUUUUUUUAAAGUGAACAUUCUUUAUUCAAUAAUAAGAAUUUUCAUAAAAUAUGUGUAACUUUUGACAUGAUUAAAAUAUUUACGUUGAGAUACAUGAACAUAUUUUCCAUAAUAUAUAAUAAUUUUAUUGUUUAAUAAAUGUUUUACUAUGCUUUCAUACUAUGUGAAAAUAUAUUUUUGGAUUUACAAAAGGUAAAACAACAAGGUGCUGACGGGCGCCAUUGGUAGCCCACCCAUGUUGAAACACAAGAAAGGGGGUGAGGGAAUCUCAUACUCAUCACUUACAAAUUUUUAAGAAGUGUUCACAAUUUUAUUGGAUUUUUAUGUGAAUAUAAGAAAAAUUUCAUACUUCAGAAAUUAUUCAUGAUAAGUUUAGAAUAAUUCAUGAUAAGUUUAGAAAACUUCAUAAAUUUCAAAAGAUAGAUUUGAAAACAAUUGUGAAGUUAUAAGAAAUUCGCAUAUUUUAGGAAAAAAUGUAAAAUAAAAUAAAAAGGAAAACAAAAAAGGAAAAGAAGAAAGGAAGUAAACUAUUGAAAAUUACAAGAAACAAUCACAGCUCGUACUGAAUGAGAAUUGAGUCCCUACCGAGUGAUGGUGGGUGGACUCUCACAGUUUUAAAUAGCGGAGAUACCGGUCGCUAUUGUGUCGGCAAUAGCGACCGCUAUUGCUCAAAUUAAAUGACAUUACUUUUUUUCUUAAUGGUCUACAAAUAUGCAUAAUAAGCUAGUGUUUUUACAAAUUCCCUACCCGUACAUAGUGCAAGCAAUAUCGCAUGAUAUGCGCAUUCCGCUACGCGGAACCCAAUCCGCUACCAUCCUGCUAUCCGCUAUUUAAAACCAUAUGGACUAAAAGAUAGCCGACUUGAAGAAAAAAUUAAAUAGGCUGGUAGCAGAUUCCUAUGACGCGAUCUUGCAAAGUUAAAUGAGCCGGCCCUAUAGAGCAUUUGGGUACGCGACUCCUACGAAUUACUCUUUAUCCUUUGCUACAAGUGAAUAAUAGGGGAUUACGGGAGCGCAUAUCUCUCACUUAUAGCGAGACAUAGAGUAGCCUCGCCUUAAGCCAGCACUUGAUUGGAUCGGCUAAGCACGCUGGAGGCCACAGGCCUCCAAAGCCCUCUUGUUUCACUGUUAUUCGUUCAAAUAUUUUGUUUUAGUUUUUAGAUUUCUUAUUGUUUUACUUUUGUUUAUACGUCCAAAUAUUCACAAUAUAUAUCUUAUAAAAACAUUUUAAACAAUUAUUUUGAAAAUGUUAAUAAUGCUAAUGUUUUUGAUAUAUGCUAAACAUGUAUACAUUAAAUGUACAAUGUGUAUGGAAAAAAGUAUAGAACUAAAUUAAUGUCAAUUUUGAAAAGUGUUAAUACGUAUAUGGAAAACGUUUAACAUGUAUACAAACAAUGUAAAAUGUGCAUGGAAAAAAGUAGAAACAAAUCAAUACAAAUUUUAAACAAAUCUUAAUGAUGUAUUUAAAAAAUGUUAAACCGAUAUAUAAAUAAUAUUCUUAAUGCAACGUAAAAUGUAGCUAGGGACACGAAGAAUACCAAUAAAAAUGAAAAAAAAUGAAGAAAGGAAGUAAGAAAAAAAACCAAUGCAACGUGAGAAUGAAACAACAGAAAAUGAAAGAAAAAAACACCAAUAAUAACCAUGAAAGAAAUAAAAAUAAAUUAGUGAAAUACAAGAAAAUAGAAGGAAAAAAAUGAUGAAACCUGUGAAAAAGUAAAGAAAACUAAAAAGAAAAACAACCAAUGAAACCGACAAAGAAAACGAGAAAUAAAAAAACAUAUAACAAAGAAUAAAAACCAGUGAAAACAAAGAAAACCGAAGUAUAAGAAGAAACGAAAAGGGAAAUAGAAAAAAAAGGUAAAGGAAUGAAAAUCUCAGUGAUAAUACAAAAGAAAACAAGAAAAAACUUGAAAAACUGCCCCCAAACAGUGUAAACCAUACAAAAGAUAAACCACACAGAAAAAACCUGGCCAAAACAGUGAAAACCGGGCAAAAGAAUAAAAAAACACAGAGAGAAAAACAAAACGCAAGAAAUGCUACAGCGAAAUCUUGCUUGGAAAGAAGUCCACUAACCCAACCACCAAAAGAGAAAACUGCUCAAGAAAUCUACGGCAAAUAAAAUGGGUCACACACCUUAAAAAUGGUAAAAUGUGUUACUACCGGAUUUUCUCUUUUCUUUAGUUGACUACCGGAAUUGAAAGUGGUCGACAUGUGGCUGCUCUCAUCGAUCGUCUUGAACACAGGUCACACCUGUCCGCAAUGCAUGGUUUCCACAUUUCAAGCGUGAAAUGCUGCGCGAUUUUCAGUGUGAAGUAUGAACAUGGGUACAGUUUCAUAGGUUGAAAUUUACGUUGGCUGGAUACGUACCCAGAGAAAGAGUUGAUCAAGAGAACCUGCAGCUGGAAUUGACAGGAACUGGAUUCCCACUCGUACGUCGGUGCGUGCAUGCAUGCUGCUACUGAAAGAUAAACCUUGGUCGUGGUGGGUAAGUAAGCGCCUUUAACGUGCAAGCUGUGGACUUGGAAGCUCGAUAAUAAUCCCUUCCAUGUGUAAAUACUAAGAAGACUAGGCCCGUAAGGGUUCGAUUUUUCUGGUUUUUUCGGAAUUUUUUUUACGCCUGCCGAUUGAGCGACACGUGUGCAUGGUGGCUUUCAUGAAGUGGUUGGUCUCUUCUCUCUUGGACUGUGCCUGUUUCUUCUAGAGCUGCAUGGGCUUAUCUUGUCUCAUGUGAAAAGAUGGUUUGACUGUAUGGGCUGAUUUUGUCUCAUGUGAAAAAGAAAUAUUAGCUGCAUGGCCUGGCUGGUAUACGUGUGCUGCUGCAUGGCUCAUGCAUGCAUGCAUGUCCACCUUUGCAUAUUUGUAAUUCCAGGUUUGCACACGUUUGUGUUCUGGGUCCUUCUUUGCUUGCCUAUAAGUAGCUCCUUGUUGUGUUCUUCUCUCAUGUGUACUUUUGGGUCUCCAUCUCUCCUCCUGAUGCUGCCCUCCAACCUCCAUCCGAGAUCCCGCGGCAUGCUAGGUCGCCGCUCCGGCUGGCCGGCUGGGAGGUGCGUGCCAUCCUCUCCUCAUGGAUCUUCCUCGGCUUCGGCUCCGUCCCUGGCCUCCCAGGCGGAUACAUGGUGGUGGCCUCCCCAUGGUCCAAGGUGGCACGCCUGCAGCUGACGCUGGAUAGCUUCCUACCCUGUUGCGCUCCAUCCUAAUCGACUCCCCUCGGCCUUCCCCAGCUUUGGCCCUGGCAGCAGGUCCCCUCCACCUGCCCCACAGCCGCGGUUCCUGCCUCGCUACUUCAGUUUCAAGUUGUUCCUUGCGAAGGUACACAUCGCAUCUGCAUUUCCUCUCCUCUGGUCUACGUGGUUUCCUUAAACAAGUAGAUGAGUUAUUAGUAUUACAAGUUCAUCAGAUCUAAAGUUGGGUGCAUAUGCUACAAAUUCUUAAUCUAAGAAGAAUAUUCAGGUGUUGCGUGCAGGUCUGUGGUGAGGACACAAAUUUGGGGGUCCAGGUCCUUGCGUGAAUGUGCAAGGAAUUUAGAGCCUGCAUCUUUAAUAUAACAUAUUAUAUUUCUCUCCAUUAAGUUGUGUUCCAUUUUCUUGAUGGAAGUAAUUCUGGUUUAAUUUCACAUGAUGUUUAAACAAAUAAACACAUGAUGUGCUGAAACCUUUUUUUAGAAAAGGAGGAUGACCCUCGGCCUCUGCAUCUGGGCGAUGCAUACGGCCACUUUAUUAAUUAUUAACACAAAACCUUACAAAGCCAUACAACAGCAAGACUAAAGCCACCGUCUAAGCAACAAUUGUCGCUACAUCUAUCCAAUUGAUAAAGGGGCGCAGAUAGUCUGGGCCUAAUACCAAACAGACAUCGCAGCCAAACCUAAACAUCUAAGACCUAAGGUCCCAACCAGAACGCCUGCCGGGUAUAGGGCACCUACCAGUCCGGCGCACUCCUCAACCUAUGAGGCCGCCGCAGCCACCUGCCACAAAUCCAUCUUCAGAGCUAUACUGUUGUAUGUACCGUGCCAGGUCUCUCUGCCAUCGACGCCACCACGACGCCCGACAGCAUCGUCCUCCUGCGCGAGUCCAUCCUCCCACAGCGAACUCCGAAUCUGCACUGCGCCACGCUGUCAAGAUCCGUCGCCAUCAGUGUGUAGGAUGAAGCACCGCUCCACCAAAGAAUCCAUCCUCUGUUCCCUCGAUCACGUGUGUACCUCCAAAAAUGACGCCCCCAAGGGAGGAACGACACCAGAGCGCCGCCGUCAUCCGAUCAUCCGAGCUAGGGUUUCCCCCGGAGGUAGCAGAGAGUGGCCUUGAACUUCUCCACGGCGAUGACUUCAAGAAGGGAACGACGCAGAUAGCGCCGCCAUCGCCGGCCUUAGCAGAAGCCGAAGGCAAGUUUUCACCCAGAUCAGUUCGAAGGAAUCCAACUCUCGUGCACGGGCCACCGUCACCACCAGCACCACCAGGCAGACCCUGGAGUACCGGCAGAUUAGCGAGCCACCGGCACCACCGCAUCCAGAUCGCCGGCCACACAGGGCCGCCGCCAUCCCCCGCGUCGUCCGGGUCAGAGACGGAGCCGCCGACCGCGCACAGGGACCGCCGCCGCCUGCACACGCCGGAGCGCCGCCGAGGUCCCAGCGCCCGCCACCGCUUACCGACGCCAACCUCCGCCCGAGCACUGGCGCCACCGUGGAGCCAUUAGAUCAGGGAGGGAGACAUCGCGCGCCGACCACCCUCGCGGACCCCGCCGCACGCCUGAGCGCCGGCGCCACCGCGACGCCAUCAGAUCAGGAGGAGGAGGAGCCCGCGCCUCGCCGCCCCCCGCAGACCACGCCGCCGCCAUCGCCGCAGCGCCACCAAAGGGGAGUCCCGCAGAUCCGCCGGUGACCCGACCUGCCGCCGAGCCGAGCGCCGCCGCAAGGGCCGGCCGGCCCGCGCCGCCCAGGAGCCUCGCGAGGAGGGAGGAAGCCCCGCCGCCACCGACGCACGCGCGGGCUUUGCCCGUCGGCGUCCCCUGGCGACGGCGAGGGAGAAGGACGGCGAAGGAAGGGAACGGCACGGGGGACGGGACAUGAUGUGCUGAAUAGCUGACAUACAUAGGAAAUGUUACAUCUUGAUGACUAUUGCAGUACUACAUUAUUCUCAGGUAUUUGUUGUUCCUUUUGUGAUAGUUUUCUCUCUCCUAAAAGUAGAAUGGAUCAUUUUUAAUCCUUUGAGCAAGGUUGCCCAAAGUAGGGCGCUCAGCCAUUGAGGCAUUAUCAAUUUCUUUAAGAAGCUUCACAAAAUCUUCUCUUAUACUAAAAAGAUCUAAUGUAGGUUUGUUAGCCUUAUAGGGUACUAUAUACUGAAGACAUGAUAUUAAAUAUACAGUACAUUGCACUGUGAAGUGAGUAUCUAUAUACUUUCGUUUCGGAAAAAAGUAUGUAUAUACUAUCCACACAUGAUUGCCAUUUUUAGAGCUGUCGCUGGGAUCAUCAUGGAUUGGGAUGCAUUCUGAUAAUAAGAUAUUAGGGUAUUGAUAUGUGAUCUGUAUGUCACACUUGACUUCAUCAUCCUUUGUUUUCAGAUGUAUUCUUUAGGCAUACACUAAUGUGGCAGCUUGGUCAUAUUCUGUAGCUAAUUUAGUCACCACAAUACUCGGAUUUUUUUUCCCGACUCUCAGUAUAAAGAACUUCCACUUGCCAUCUCUAUAUGGAUUUUCUUUUUGCUACUGAUGAUUUUGGCUAAGGGUUUUUCGGCUUUCCUCUCUAUAUGGAUAUGCUUUUUUCAGGUUAGUAGUUUAGGAGUUUUUUUCAACACUGGCUUUUGGAAGUUAUGCUCGCUUCACCAGUAGGUCUUAACAAGGACAUAAUUAAUUCUCGGUUGGUAAUUAGAAAAAAAAUUGUUGGAGAAAACAUAUCUUUUGCGUAGUUAUUGCUUCUGAAUUUUACUAAUCUUUUUUCAUUUUCUUUUUUUUCCAGGUUAGUAGUAUGGGAGUUCCUAUCAAGACUGACAUUUGGAAGUUAUGCUAGCUUCAUCAGUUAUACAAAACUAGACUCAAUGUAAUUUAUUUUGGUGCUUGCAAUGAGUAUUAGACAGAGGGAUGAUGAACACAUACUUCACCCAGUGUAUAGCCAUGGUGACAAAAAAAAUUAGACAGAAAAACUCGGUCUGUAUGGUGUUUGUGAUGAUGCUAUCAAUUCACUAAACGCUAAAAUGCCAGGUUGUGAGUGUCAAAUCUAGCAAACUAAUUUUCUUUAUUGCUUUUUAUCCAAACAGAAGUAUUAGUCUAUUCUGUGCCAAGAGUCUUACUGUCAAAAGAAUAUAUGGUAGCAUCAGAUUGCCUCCAUCAGAUAGAACAAUGGCUAAUAAACUCAUUUUAUUACUGUAUAGCCAUGGUGACAAACAAUUGGAUAAUAAGAAAUAAUUCGCUCAAAUAUUCUCAGCAGAGAUACUGUUGCGGUCUAUACGAAAAAAAUUGUUACCUAUUUAAUUAAACAGAAAACUCUGUCAUUCAUGGCAACAGAUGCUAAACAAUCAGACUACCUGACAGAAAAGUAUAUAUACAACAGUUAAAUUUCUUCAUUCCAAAAAUAGAUGAUGUAGCGGUAGAUGUUGAUCGUACAAGAACACGAGGAUGACAAAGAUAAAUUAAUAACAUAUAUUAUCAUCACGGGUUGAUCUAACUGGUGGUAAUUUUUCUUUGCAAUGAAAACAAAGUGGAAUGAAACGAUUCAAACAACCAAAAAGAAGGAAACAAAUGAUGCUUACGGAUCUGAAUGAGUUAGGUCGCUCCACUACUUGCAAGUAAUAGGCAGAUCCAGCGACUCAGUGGCAGAGCUACUGCUCGACAAAGCCAGGCCGCCGCCCUGGCUCUGCCUGGAAGUCAUCACUGAAAUUACAAAAAGAAAUAUUAAGUAAUUAGUAUGGUAGAGCUACUGCUCGACAACGCCAGGCGGCCGCCUUGGCUCUGCCUGGAAGUCAUCACUGAAAUUACAAAAAGAAAUUAAUUAGUAUUUUUUCCAUGGGCAUAUGACCGCCGGCCGGUUGCCUUUGUGCUCAUGCCAGUGUUGUAAUUGACUCUGCCACUGCAGCGACCUGGAAGAACAGCAACUGUUUGUGGAGUGGGGAAUUUUUCUCUCUCAGUACGUCUCUAAAUCACUGAAUUGUCCCCUGGACAAAUAUGAGUUAAAUAUGUCCCGUCGACAUAGGGAAGGCUUGCUAUCACAUACCAUUUAUUGGGAUAUCUAAUAUUAGUCUCAUUCCAACACCACAUAUCCAGACCAAAGAGAAAGCUACAAAUUGGAUGAUUGAUCCCUAUGAAAUUGAUGUCACACAUAUUUUAUUUUGAAAAGGGUAUUACCCUGGGCUCUGCAACAAUGAUGCACACAACCAUAUUAUUAAACAUAAAUCAAGUUCCAAUUACCGAGUUCCAGGCUUAUUUCAUCAAGUAGUUUUCUUCUACUUGAACUCAAUUUCUUCAAUUUCCCUGAGUCGUGAGCUUAUAUCAGCCGUGAGCUCAUAUAUAUUCUGCGUUGUGAACUCAUUUUAGUUUUAUCUAUGAACUCAUUAGGUGAAUUCAUCAUGUUUUUUGGGAGAUGUGAACUUAUUUCAUAUUCAUCUAUGAAUCAUGGUUGAAGUGUUCGUAUAAUUCCAUUCUUUUGCCACUUCUAACUACAAUUCCAUUGUUGUCUUUGAAUAAGCUACAUCAAGUGCAACAAAACAGAUUGCAUCAAGUAGCUUAUGGACUGAAAUUUGCGGUAUUAUUCAUUUGUUGUAUUGUCGAUUAGUUGAUUCUGGCUGUGAAACUAAACAUGCCAUGCUAUUCUUGAUGUAAUUUCCAAAUUGCAAUCCAUAAUCAAGCAAAAGAUUACAACAAACAUGACUUACAUGUUGCUUGCAUUCAACAUCUUCAGGACCUUCACGCGCAUCCAUCUCCUCCUCUGGUCGCUGCUGCCAUCAAGCCACUUGCUCAGGAC
Molecule: long non-coding RNA, 13546 nt
Filed under: Triticum aestivum (bread wheat)
Lineage: Eukaryota; Viridiplantae; Streptophyta; Magnoliopsida; Poales; Poaceae
Description: long non-coding RNA (TAES_LNC006121)
Source: RNAcentral